RNAcentral lists this ribosomal RNA (78 nucleotides) under Scedosporium boydii. RNAcentral describes it as "partial 28S ribosomal RNA". It matches the Rfam family "Eukaryotic large subunit ribosomal RNA", at positions 1 to 76 of the family's 3401-position model. The record is from RNAcentral. Lineage: Eukaryota; Fungi; Ascomycota; Sordariomycetes; Microascales; Microascaceae.
UUUGACCUCGGAUCAGGUAGGGUUACCCGCUGAACUUAAGCAUAUCAAUAAGCGGAGGAAAAGAAACCAACAGGGAUU